Molecule: ribosomal RNA, 468 nt
Filed under: uncultured bacterium
Lineage: Bacteria
Description: partial 16S ribosomal RNA
Rfam family: Bacterial small subunit ribosomal RNA
Source: RNAcentral
GACGAACGCUGGCGGCGUGCUUAACACAUGCAAGUCGAACGGAAAGGCCCUGCUUUUGUGGGGUGCUCGAGUGGCGAACGGGUGAGUAACACGUGAGUAACCUGCCCUUGACUUUGGGAUAACUUCAGGAAACUGGGGCUAAUACCGGAUAGGAGCUCCUGCUGCAUGGUGGGGGUUGGAAAGUUUCGGCGGUUGGGGAUGGACUCGCGGCUUAUCAGCUUGUUGGUGGGGUAGUGGCUUACCAAGGCUUUGACGGGUAGCCGGCCUGAGAGGGUGACCGGCCACAUUGGGACUGAGAGACGGCCCAGAGUCCUACGGGAGGCAGCAGUGGGGAAUAUUGCCCAAUGGGCGGAAGCCUGAUGCAGCAACGCCGCGGGCGGGAUGACGGCCUUCGGGUUGUAAACCGCUUUCGCCUGUGACGAAGCGUGAGUGACGGUAAUGGGUAAAGAAGCACCGGCUAACUACGUG